Molecule: ribosomal RNA, 497 nt
Filed under: uncultured bacterium
Lineage: Bacteria
Description: partial 16S ribosomal RNA
Rfam family: Bacterial small subunit ribosomal RNA
Source: RNAcentral
GAUGAACGCUGGCGGCGUGCCUAAUACAUGCAAGUCGAGCGAACAGACGAGGAGCUUGCUCCUCUGACGUUAGCGGCGGACGGGUGAGUAACACGUGGAUAACCUACCUAUAAGACUGGGAUAACUUCGGGAAACCGGAGCUAAUACCGGAUAAUAUAUUGAACCGCAUGGUUCAAUAGUGAAAGACGGUUUUGCUGUCACUUAUAGAUGGAUCCGCGCCGCAUUAGCUAGUUGGUAAGGUAACGGCUUACCAAGGCAACGAUGCGUAGCCGACCUGAGAGGAUGAUCAGCCACACUGGAACUGAGACACGGUCCAGACUCCUACGGGAGGCAGCAGUAGGGAAUCUUCGACAAUGGGCGAAAGCCUGACGGAGCAACACCGCGUGAGUGAAGAAGGUCUUCGGGUCGUAAAGCUCUGUUAUUGGGAAAGAACAAAUGUAUAUGUAACUAUGCACGUCUUGACGGUACCUAAACAGAAAGCCACGGCUAACUUCGUG